AGAAAUCUCACCAGGCCCGGACACUGGAAGGAUUGACAGAUUGAUAGCUCUUUCUCGAUUCGGUGGGUGGUGGUGCAUGGCCGUUCUUAGUUGGUGGAGCGAUCUGUCUGGUUAAUUCCGAUAACGAACGAGACCCCAACCUGCUAACUAGCCCUCGGGUCCUGCUUCUGUUGGGCCCGACGGAAUGAUUCGCUUCUUAGAGGGACUCGCGGCGCCUAGCCGCACGAAGGGGGGCGAUAA
This 240-nucleotide ribosomal RNA is filed under the name uncultured eukaryote. Its description in RNAcentral is "partial 18S ribosomal RNA". It matches the Rfam family "Eukaryotic small subunit ribosomal RNA", at positions 1208 to 1456 of the family's 1831-position model. The record is from RNAcentral.